Molecule: ribosomal RNA, 496 nt
Filed under: uncultured bacterium
Lineage: Bacteria
Description: partial 16S ribosomal RNA
Rfam family: Bacterial small subunit ribosomal RNA
Source: RNAcentral
GAUGAACGCUGGCGGCGUGCCUAAUACAUGCAAGUCGAGCGAACAGACGAGGAGCUUGCUCCUCUGACGUUAGCGGCGGACGGGUGAGUAACACGUGGAUAACCUACCUAUAAGACUGGGAUAACUUCGGGAAACCGGAGCUAAUACCGGAUAAUAUAUUGAACCGCAUGGUUCAAUAGUGAAAGACGGUUUUGCUGUCACUUAUAGAUGGAUCCGCACCGCAUUAGCUAGUUGGUAAGGUAACGGCUUACCAAGGCAACGAUGCGUAGCCGACCUGAGAGGGUGAUCGGCCACACUGGAACUGAGACACGGUCCAGACUCCUACGGGAGGCAGCAGUAGGGAAUCUUCCGCAAUGGGCGAAAGCCUGACGGAGCAACGCCGCGUGAGUGAUGAAGGUCUUCGGAUCGUAAAACUCUGUUAUUAGGGAAGAACAAAUGUGUAAGUAACUAUGCACGUCUUGACGGUACCUAAUCAGAAAGCCACGGCGAACUACGU